Molecule: transfer RNA, 62 nt
Filed under: Syrista sp. 1 GYN-2021c
Lineage: Eukaryota; Metazoa; Arthropoda; Insecta; Hymenoptera; Cephidae
Description: tRNA-Trp
Source: RNAcentral
AAGAUUUUAAGUUAAAAAAACUAUUAACCUUCAAAGUUAAAUAUAAUAAAAUAUAAUAUAUU